This 253-nucleotide ribosomal RNA is filed under the name uncultured bacterium. RNAcentral's name for it is "partial 16S ribosomal RNA". It matches the Rfam family "Bacterial small subunit ribosomal RNA", at positions 524 to 776 of the family's 1533-position model. The record is from RNAcentral.
UACGGAGGAUGCAAGCGUUAUCCGGAAUGAUUGGGCGUAAAGCGUCCGCAGGUGGCUGUGUAAGUCUGCUGUCAAAGAGCGAAGCUCAACUUCGUAAAGGCAGUGGAAACUACACGGCUAGAGUGCGUUCGGGGCAGAGGGAAUUCCUGGUGUAGCGGUGAAAUGCGUAGAUAUCAGGAAGAACACCGGUGGCGAAAGCGCUCUGCUAGGCCGCAACUGACACUGAGGGACGAAAGCUAGGGGAGCGAAUGGG